AUCGCUUCUCGGCCUUUUAAGCUAAGAUCAAGUGUAAGUAUCUGUUCUUAUCAGUUUAAUGUCUGAUAUCCUCUAUAUGGGGACUACAUAUUAAGCAGAUUUUUGGCAUGAGGGGCAGAAAUUUGGAGCUUGCUCCUUUCUCUCCACGCAUCAACCCUAGUACAGUGCCCGCUAGGAGCAGUUGCACUCCUG
This is a small nuclear RNA of Hippoglossus stenolepis (Pacific halibut), 192 nucleotides long. RefSeq annotates it as U2 spliceosomal RNA. The record is from RefSeq and is a predicted model, not a curated record. The transcript has a single exon. NCBI's taxonomy places the organism in Eukaryota, Metazoa, Chordata, Actinopteri, Pleuronectiformes, Pleuronectidae.